RNAcentral lists this long non-coding RNA (1508 nucleotides) under Equus asinus (donkey). RNAcentral describes it as "lncRNA (ENSEASG00005027574.1)". Lineage: Eukaryota; Metazoa; Chordata; Mammalia; Perissodactyla; Equidae. The record is from RNAcentral.
GCUGAAACUUUGAGAAGUUGUUUCCCAUUACAUAUCACAUUGCAGUAAGAUGCAAACACAGGUGUAUGAUAUCAAAGCCUAAGCUCUUCAUCUCUGUGCUAUGCCACAGUGGCAACAAUUAAUGCCUGAAGACGGUAAAUAGUAUAGCUUAAAUGCGAAAUAAAAUACAUGUUUUGCAUUAUAUUUGGGCAGUCAAUAAAUAUAUGUUGAAGGCCAAUUCACACAAACUCACUGCUAUAUUUGAUUCAGAUGGGCCUUACUUAACCACCUUCUCUAAAUAGCACCACCCUUUCCCUGAAUGUCUCUUUCAGCUGAUUUAUAUUCCCUCCUAACACUUACCACCACCUGACAUAGAUUUCGAUUUGUAAAUUCCCUUGGCAUUCGUCUUUCCCAGUCGAGUGUAAGCUCCCCGACAGGAAGGAUUCAUCUCUGGUCCACUGCAGUAGCCUUAGUGCUUGGAAUACAGCUGAGACUCAUCAAAAAUCUCCUCAACGAAACACUUAUAAAGGAAAUAGCAGUAUUCUUGCAAUUUUUAAUGUCAUAUGGCAGUUGAUGCAUUUCCAGAGAAAGAUGAGGAGUGGAAAGCUGAGAAGACAGAGACCAGUUGGAAAGUGGGGAGGGGUGGGAUAAAAACAUCACCUUGUCUUCCAAAGAUUCAUACCACCCUCUUGCGGUAAAGGCAAUCUUAUACUCCACUGGGUUGCUGUCAAAUCACCUAGUGGUCCCUUGUACCCCCUGCCCAUCAUGGUUAACCCAGCAGGGCACAGCAAGUUUCCAGGCAGGGAGCCAAUUGCAACAAAAACACAACUCAGAAAAAGAGCACAAAAUGAAGGGUUUUAAGACAGCAAUCUAACACCCAGCAAUUCCCAGGAAGCUUUUAUCUCUGCAGGCUGGAUAGAGUUUGGUUCUUGUUAGUUUUCAUGGAGCAAAGACAUCUUGUUGGCACUAGGAACUCCAGAAAGUGUCUGCCAAGUCCACGUCAGUCUUGGCCAGUUUUCAGUGAUGUGCUGCACGGUGCGUUAAACUUCAUGCUACAGGAGAGCAGCCUGCGUCCCUGUGCUGAAGCUCCAGCGCAUUUUAAAUAUGAAGUUUGGAUAACAUGGCAAAAGUUCAAGUUGAAAGAUAUUCUGUAUUCAUUUAGAAGAUGUGACUCACAAUCUGAAGUGGCUGAGAUAAACAUUUUAACAGUCACAACCACGAUGACCUUGGAAGAAGCUACCCAUUGAAGAUGGCAGGACCUGGGACUUUGGAUGACUGCUUGGUGCAGAAUACCCGACCUGCCACCACUCUCACUACCUUCAUCUGAGCAAAACCAGAAACCUCUGUGGGGUGAACCACCACGAGUUUGAGUUCUAUCUACUACCGCAGCUAAUGGUGCAUUUAUUUUUAUACUGUUGAAUCCUUUGUGGAAAUAUUUCAUUUUAGAUACUGAGUUUGAAGAAAUAUUGGUCUAGAUUCUCUUUUUUAUACUGUCUUUAUUUGGCUAUAAUAUCACAUUUAAAUGGGUA